Small nucleolar RNA from Nannospalax galili (Upper Galilee mountains blind mole rat), 194 nucleotides. Its record names the gene SNORA73. It matches the Rfam family "Small nucleolar RNA SNORA73 family". From Rfam's summary of the family: U17 (SNORA73A and SNORA73B) also known as E1 belongs to the H/ACA class of small nucleolar RNAs (snoRNAs). The record is from Ensembl. NCBI's taxonomy places the organism in Eukaryota, Metazoa, Chordata, Mammalia, Rodentia, Spalacidae.
UCAACUAAUUUCAAGUUUUUAAAAAAGUCUUUCUUCUGUCCUAGUGGCAUAGGGGAGCAUAGGCUCUGCCCCAUGAUGUACAGUCCCUUUCCACAAGGUUGGAGAUGAAGCUGGGCUUCAAGUCUGCAUAGUCCUACUACUUCUCAGAGUCCUGUGGACAAUGACUGAGAAGACAAACCAUGUAGGAAACAGUC